CCUACGGGUGGCUGCAGUGGGGAAUAUUGGACAAUGGGGGGAACCCUGAUCCAGCCAUGCCGCGUGUGUGAAGAAGGCCCUCGGGUUGUAAAGCACUUUCAGUGAGGAAGAACGCCUGGUGGUUAAUACCCAUCAGGAAAGACAUCACUCACAGAAGAAGCACCGGCUAACUCCGUGCCAGCAGCCGCGGUAAUACGGAGGGUGCGAGCGUUAAUCGGAAUUACUGGGCGUAAAGCGCGCGUAGGUGGCUUGAUAAGCCGGUUGUGAAAGCCCCGGGCUCAACCUGGGAACGGCAUCCGGAACUGUCAAGCUAGAGUGCAGGAGAGGAAGGUAGAAUUCCCGGUGUAGCGGUGAAAUGCGUAGAGAUCGGGAGGAAUACCAGUGGUGAAGGCGGCCUUCUGGACUGACACUGACACUGAGGUGCGAAAGCGUGGGUAGCAAACAGGAUUAGAUACCCGAGUAGUC
RNAcentral lists this ribosomal RNA (465 nucleotides) under Vreelandella stevensii. RNAcentral describes it as "partial 16S ribosomal RNA". It matches the Rfam family "Bacterial small subunit ribosomal RNA", at positions 338 to 795 of the family's 1533-position model. Lineage: Bacteria; Pseudomonadati; Pseudomonadota; Gammaproteobacteria; Oceanospirillales; Halomonadaceae. The record is from RNAcentral.